Molecule: ribosomal RNA, 406 nt
Filed under: uncultured bacterium
Lineage: Bacteria
Description: partial 16S ribosomal RNA
Rfam family: Bacterial small subunit ribosomal RNA
Source: RNAcentral
GAUUAACGCUGGCGGCGUGCAUAACACAUGCAAGUCGAACGAAGUGGCGGACGGGUGAGUAACGCGUGAGUAACCUGCCUUAGAGAAGGGGAUAGCCUUUGGAAACGAAGAAUAAUACCCUAUCCUCUAAGAUGGACUUGCGUUUGAUUAUUUAGUUGGUGAGGUAACGGCCCACCACGACGGCGAUCAGUAGCCGGCUGGAGAGAGUGUACGGGCACAUUGGGCAUGAGGCACGGGCCAGACUGUGCGGGAGGAAGCAGUGGGGACUUGUGCACAAUGGGGGGAACUCAGGUGGAGCGCCGCAGCGUGAUUUAGAAGGCCUUCGGGUUGUAAAAAUCUUUUCUAUGGGAAGCAGUACCAUAGGAAUAAGGACCGGCUAAUUACGUGCCAGCAGCCGCGGUAAUAC